This 541-nucleotide ribosomal RNA is filed under the name Salmonella enterica subsp. enterica serovar Enteritidis. RNAcentral describes it as "partial 23S ribosomal RNA". It matches the Rfam family "Bacterial large subunit ribosomal RNA", at positions 13 to 591 of the family's 2925-position model. Lineage: Bacteria; Pseudomonadati; Pseudomonadota; Gammaproteobacteria; Enterobacterales; Enterobacteriaceae. The record is from RNAcentral.
AAGCGUACACGGUGGAUGCCCUGGCAGUCAGAGGCGAUGAAGGGCGUACUAAUCUGCGAUAAGCGCCGGUAAGGUGAUAUGAACCGUUAUAACCGGCGAUACCCGAAUGGGGAAACCCAGUGUGAUUCGUCACACUAUCAUUAACUGAAUCCAUAGGUUAAUGAGGCGAACCGGGGGAACUGAAACAUCUAAGUACCCCGAGGAAAAGAAAUCAACCGAGAUUCCCCCAGUAGCGGCGAGCGAACGGGGAGGAGCCCAGAGCCUGAAUCAGCAUGUGUGUUAGUGGAAGCGUCUGGAAAGGCGCGCGAUACAGGGUGACAGCCCCGUACACAAAAGCGCAUGUGCUGUGAGCUCGAUGAGUAGGGCGGGACACGUGGUAUCCUGUCUGAAUAUGGGGGGACCAUCCUCCAAGGCUAAAUACUCCUGACUGACCGAUAGUGAACCAGUACCGUGAGGGAAAGGCGAAAAGAACCCCGGCGAGGGGAGUGAAAAAGAACCUGAAACCGUGUACGUACAAGCAGUGGGAGCACAGGUUUACCUG